AACGAACGCUGGCGGCAGGCCUAACACAUGCAAGUCGAACGCUUCAGCAAUGAAGAGUGGCAGACGGGUGAGUAACGCGUGGGAACCUUCCCAGUGGUACGGAAUAGCCCAGGGAAACUUGGGGUAAUACCGUAUAAGCCCUUCGGGGGAAAGAUUUAUCGCCAUUGGAUGGGCCCGCGUCGGAUUAGCUUGUUGGUGAGGUAAAAGCUCACCAAGGCGACGAUCCGUAGCUGGUCUGAGAGGAUGAUCAGCCACACUGGGACUGAGACACGGCCCAGACUCCUACGGGAGGCAGCAGUGGGGAAUAUUGGACAAUGGGCGCAAGCCUGAUCCAGCCAUGCCGCGUGAGUGACGAAGGCCUUAGGGUUGUAAAGCUCUUUUGGCGGGGACGAUAAUGACGGUACCCGCAGAAUAAGCUCCGGCUAACUUCAUG
This 433-nucleotide ribosomal RNA is filed under the name uncultured bacterium. RNAcentral's name for it is "bacterial SSU rRNA". It matches the Rfam family "Bacterial small subunit ribosomal RNA", at positions 29 to 507 of the family's 1533-position model. The record is from RNAcentral.